UCUCAGUGUUGAAGGUAUAGUCCCCAGUGUUGAGCUACUUGGAGUUGAUAUCAGCUUUAAGAGGCUUUUCCCGCCUAAUGAAUCUGAGCCUUUGCAAGCGCCGUGUGAUUGACAGAGCCACAGACUGACAGCUUCAAGUUUCUUCGAAGACUAGGGUUUAUGGCAGCAUUUUUGGACCCACCCAGGGAGCUCUGACUGCCAGAACUGGAGAAGAGGGAGCUCCAGAGGACACAAGAUGCAACUGUCCCUGGGUUUGACUACAAGAGAGGAGCUGUUAACCAGAUUAACCCUACAAAUGACAGGACCUUGAAGAGAGAAGAAUGGUAGACAGUGGGAGGCAUUGGCUCCCAUUUAUGGCUUGGCCUGGUAGACUCAUCACUCAAGGACACACAUUCUGCUAUGGAUGAGGGAUCAGGUGUACAGAUGUGAUGCUGA
Mus caroli (Ryukyu mouse) is the source of this 435-nucleotide non-coding RNA. Lineage: Eukaryota; Metazoa; Chordata; Mammalia; Rodentia; Muridae. The record is from RefSeq and is a predicted model, not a curated record.